GCCGGGCCUGGGGCCGGGCGGCAGGGCUGGGGCGGGGGCCGGGCCGGCCGGAGCAGGAGGUCCCGGGCUGGAGCCGGGGCCGGAGCGGAGGGGGGUGUCGGGGCGGAGAGGGCCGGAGCCGGGACCCGGCCGGAGCGGAGAGAUCCGCCAAGGGAGUGCCGCGGCUGCCGCUACCGCUGCCGUCGCCGGAGCUCGCUGGGCGUGCGCGCUGCGCUCUGGUGAGGAGGGAGCUCCGCUCCCCUUUUAUAGCUCGAUGGCGGACCACGUUGAGAACAACAACAGCCUGGUCUGGAGCCAGCGCCAACUUGUGCUUCUUGGAGCCCCUUCCUCGGCCGCUAGCUUCCCGCAUCGCGCCCCCCGGGCACCACCAAACCCUCGGCCGAGCGCCCCGGACAGGGCCCGAGCCUGCGGCGCAACGGAGAGAUGGCCUGCGCCCGGGAAGGGCUCAGCAGAGGGGAACGGAGGGGUGCACCCUAUGCUGCGGGAGCGCGAGAGGAGGGGGGCACCCGGUUUGGGGGCAAAUAGCGAGGGCCACGGGGGAGGCCACGCGGCCCGGAGCUUUGCGGCCGGCAGCCAAGAGUGCGCCACAGACACCCAAGCCCUGAGCGCGGUCCGGGGGCCCCCGGCCUGCCCGCAGGACGAGGUUUAAUUUGUCCGAACUAACACAGGGCACGCCCUCACGUGGUCGGCUGGGGCAAUGUGAAAUGUGCUAGGACAUCUUCGAGGGGGGUCUCCACCCGAGUCCGAGGGGAUGGCGGCUGGGGGCGCCCUCCGGCUGCGCGCCCGGGGUCUUGUUAUGCCUCGGGGGUCUGAGCCCCGCCCGGGAGGAAGUGGGGGACGACCGCAGGUGUCUCUCUACGGACAUUUCCAAACCUCCCACCCCCCGCCCUCCGUCCCCGCCAAACUGGCGCUGAUGCUCCAAGUGCCCCAUUUUGUGGUGCGCAAGUAGCCGCCACCGUUCGCCCCAGAGCCAAAUGGCGGUUCCACGGUGGAACUAGUGGAGCGAGUGACAGGCUGCGACCCCCGAAGGGGUCCUCGGACAGGAUGGGGGAGGGGAGGUGCUGCGGCCACACCCCUCCCCCUGUCGUGGGGGAAGGGCGAUGGAGAGCGGGUCCUGGAGACUCCUCUUCUAGCCCCCCUCCCUCUCGGCGCCCGGCGAAGUCCUCCGCAGGGGCUUGUGCAAGUCUGCGGCCCUGAGCCGGUCGGGGUGCAGCGUAACUACUGCCGAGGCGGCGCCGAACAGCCUUUCUCGAAGCCGAAGAAGCCUCUACCUGGGGAAGCUGAGACCAUGGGGAGACACCCCGGGAGGAGAGCGGAUCCCUUGGGAGUAAGUGGUUUUUAGGCCCGAGCAUGGAGGGAUGGAUGGGACAGGGACGGUAGAAAAUUGGGGUUCCUGGGGAGAGAGAGCUGGAAGCCGUGAAGUCCAGGAAGGGGGAAGCUGGGCGUGGGGGUGGGGGAUCCAGGCCUUCUCUCCCAAGAGGCCCCUGUCCACACGCACCCUUUUCCCAGAGCAGGCACAGACCCCAUUGGCCCCUCAGACAAAUUAGUGAAUAAGGCCCCGGAGAGGAGGAAAUUGAGGCUGGGAAAGGUGAGACGGAAUGGGGUUUCUUUGCAGUAGGGGGUGAUCAGUGGCAUUGACCCAGAGGAGGGCUCGUCUCCCAGGGCAGUGAAUACAGCCCAUAGGAGGAGGAAGAUAAGCCCAGGUCCCUGCAAAGAAGGCCAAGUCCCUCUCCCAGGAAGGAGGACACCCCCCCAACAAACACACAUACCCAAGUGAACUGUCUGUCAAGCUGGGGAAACUUGGCCAGCCUAAGACCUCAGCCAAGGUGAGAAAAGACCAUUAGGAGUCUCCUAGCAGAGACAGGUGGGUUUCUGAAAGCAGUGCUGGCUGAGCCCCGGGGGGCGCCUGGGGAACAAAAAGGUCUUGCAGAGAGGGCAUGGCCUGAGCGAAAAAUCACAGGUUCCGGAAAUGCAGAGGCAUAAUGCAGUGAGAGAGAGAGAUGGAGGAGUGUCCAUCCAGGAGCUGAAGCCACCCAAGACGGAGCAGAGGGCACGGAGGUUCCUCCCCAAGCCCUGGAGUUCUCCACCCUUCCACUUUGGGCUCUCCAGGCCUCUCCACACAACAGCAGCAGCAGCAGCAGCAGAUGGAGCCGCUAACACAGAAUUCCCCAGUUUGUGAAAAGAUGUUGGAUGUGUGCAGCGCUCUCCAGCUUUGGCAGCCCAAGUCCGGACUUCUGAACAGAGAUGUCCUCAAGAGAAGGGAGGACCCGCAAGAAUACAGCCUUCCUGGAGAAUGAAACACGAAACAAAAGACCCCGGUGUCGAGCAGAGUGUGGAGUCUGGGUCUAGGAUGCAGAACCCUGGGGCUCUAGGUGGGCUUCUGUGCUUCCGUCAGCCUCAGUGUUAUCAUCUGUAAAAGGGGUGUCUACCCUAGAGCUCCAGCAGAGGCACCUCUGCGCGGGAGAGUUUCCAGAAGGCCUGGGUGGGAGUUACCAGCCUCAGGGACAGGAUUCUGAGGCCCUGCCGCCUGAGGGCCCCUCCCCAGGGAAGGCCCCGUUGGCUGUUAACCUGUUGAAGGCCAAAGAGUCUGUCUCCCCAAAACAUGUUUUAAACCGAGAGGUUGGCUCCAUCCUAGGCCUGGACUGGGAGGGAGGGUGGCAGGGCACAGUUUGGGAUUUAAAAUAUAGAGAGUCACUAAGUA
Long non-coding RNA from Enhydra lutris kenyoni (northern sea otter), 2701 nucleotides. RefSeq lists it as uncharacterized. The transcript has 3 exons. Lineage: Eukaryota; Metazoa; Chordata; Mammalia; Carnivora; Mustelidae. The record is from RefSeq and is a predicted model, not a curated record.